AUUGAACGCUAGCGGGUUGCUUUACACAUGCAAGUCGAACGGCAGCGCGGUCUUCGUUCUGGCUGCGCGUGGCGAACGGGUGUGUAAUGUAUCGGAACGUGCCCAGUAGCGGGUGAUAACUACGCGAUAGCGUAGCUAAUACCGCAUACGCCCUACGGGGGCAAGCAGGUGAUCGUAAGACCUUGUACUCUUGUAGCGGUCGAUAUCGGAUUUGCUAGUUUGUGAGGUAACGGCUCACCAAGGCGACGAUCCGUAGCUGGUUUGAGAGGACGACCAGCCACACUGGGACUGAGACACGGCCCAGACGCCUACGGGAGGCAGCAGUGGGGAAUUGUGGACAAAGGGGGCAACCCUGAUCCAGCCAUCCCGCGUGUGCGAUGAAGGCCUUCGGGUUGUAAAGCACUUUUGGCAGGAAAGAAACGUCGCGGGCUAAUACGACGUGGAACUGACGGUACCUGGAGAAUAAGCACCGGCUAACUACGUG
This 484-nucleotide ribosomal RNA is filed under the name uncultured bacterium. RNAcentral's name for it is "partial 16S ribosomal RNA". It matches the Rfam family "Bacterial small subunit ribosomal RNA", at positions 30 to 507 of the family's 1533-position model. The record is from RNAcentral.